AAAAAGGCAAACCGCGGGUUUGCAUGCCAACGUUUGACUGUCCGUCUUAUAUGAAUUUUUUUUAUAAUUAGUAUUUUCAUUGUUGUUAGAUGAUAAAACAUGAUGAACACUUUAUGCGUGACUUAUCUUUUUAAUUUUUUUUUUAUAAUUUUUUCAAAUAAAACGGACGGUCAAACAUUGGACACGGAAACCAGGGUUUGUCUUUUU
MicroRNA precursor from Oryza sativa Japonica Group (Japanese rice), 207 nucleotides. It matches the Rfam family "MIR812 microRNA precursor family". Lineage: Eukaryota; Viridiplantae; Streptophyta; Magnoliopsida; Poales; Poaceae. The record is from Rfam.